ACCUCCUCGUGGGGAUGAAGAAACUCACCAGAGGAAAAUGGUGUCUUUCCAACCACCCAAGCAACUGAUGUCUCAACUCUUAGUGACAACACAAACCAGCGAGCGAGAUUGAUGUCACUGACUGGCUCUGCAUAAUCAUGGAGGCACCGUAAUGUCUUCACAUUUCAACUCUAAGUGACAACUUGGUUUUAAAACUUCCUUUGUGACCUUCUAGCAUGCACACGUCGAGUGCUUUUCAGAGUGGUUUUCUGAACAUGCCAUGCAGCGAGAUCGAGCACAGUGAUUGAUAGCCUCCUUCAAGGCCUCAACAAGGCGGCCUAGAAUCGAGGCUAAGUGAUCGAGUGAUGGGCUGAACAGUGCAGCAUGAAUUAUGUUGGAAGCAAGCUCUCAAAUAGACAACUGAUGUCUUCAAUCUUUCAACUCUACACGAACCGUGCAGCGAGAGUGUCACUGACUGCUGCAGGCUUGCAUGCGAGCACUAUAAUUAUGGUGAUGGACUGAACAGUGCAGCAUGUUGGAAGCAAACACACAAUUAGACAAGCCUUCCAGCUGCAAGGGUGUACAAGACCCCCCCCUGCAUGAGAGUCCUAAUCCAGUUACCC
Molecule: long non-coding RNA, 602 nt
Organism: Halichondria panicea
Lineage: Eukaryota; Metazoa; Porifera; Demospongiae; Suberitida; Halichondriidae
Exons: 5
Source: RefSeq, a predicted model, not a curated record